UGUGAAUUAUAUAAUUUGUGAAUAAAUUCCUGUAAUUUUAGUUUGUUUAAAAAAUAACAAAAGGAACAAUAAAAUGUUGAAAUAAAUUAUUGUUUUGAUUUUAAUAAAAUAAGUAUUUAUAAACAUAUUUUUGUUGUUAUGUUUAUGAUGAUUUUUAAAAAAAAAAAAUGUAUUUGAUUUUAAAUAAUUGACGCUUAAAACUAAAAUUAGUGUGUAUAAAUUAUAAAUUAAGAAAGUUAAAUUAAGAGAUGAUUGAUGUAAGGCCUAAAAAAAAAAAUAUAAUAAAAUAAAUAAUAAUAAAACUAAUAAAUAAAAAUAUAACAAAUAGUGUGCACAUGUGGCAGCAUAGGAUAGGUUGAAUAAUAUUAGUAAAGUAAAAAUACUUAACCUUCUAAAACCCACAUUUAAUUUGUGUUUCUGAAGAACAGUUCCCUCUUUUCUUUCAAACACUCUCUCUUUUCUUCUAUGCUUUACCACUCCUUCCAUCUCAAACUCAGAUUCUUGAUCCUUUGCUUGUUGAACAGAAGAUACCUAGCUGAUCAAGGUUUCAAGAGCAACCUUUCUACCGAUUGAAUUUUCGUUUUCCCAAUUGGUAAGAAAAAAAAAACCCCUUUCUUUCUUUUCACCUAGGGUUUUAAUCAUAUGAAACAAAAUCUGGGUGCAUGUGACCCAUUUCACGUUUCUCAAAUUUUUUUAGCUUCUAUUAGGUUCUAAAAAUUGUAUUCUAUCAUCAAAUUGAUGAUCUAUAGGUACCGUAAGGGUUUCCAUAGGACGCAGGACAUCUCUAGCCUUCUUAAGCUUGGUUGCCUACACUAAAGGUAAGGGGAGCUAGUUUUAUUUCUUAUUUUUAUUGUGUGAUGUGAAUGAAUGACAAAUUUUGUAGUGAUAUGUUGUUGGAAGCAUGAAUUUGAUUCUAACAGUAUCAUACCAAUUAUUUUUAAAGUUAGUUCUACUAUAAUUUAGUUAUGAUUUUUGUUUCGUUUUUUUUACUACUUUUAGAAGUAUUUAGGGGAAAAAUCAUUUUUAAAAUGUUCCUUAAUCUUUCUAUACGUGGGCACCCUUUUGUGGUGUAGAAAUCAAAGGUGUAUUGAAAUUAUCAAAAAAAAAAAAAAAGAAAAAGAAGAAAACAAAACAAAAGUAGUUUAAGAAUUGAACCCAACCGUGACUUUUGACUUGAGUUAUAAAAUGAUGAUUCCAUUUGUUUAGUUAACAAACUAUAACAUCCAUGAUUGAAUAAUCUUACGUGUUAAUGUCACAAAGCUAUCAUCAAAUGCAAGACUUACCGAUAUCAAGAAUCAUAAAUUUGACUAUGAAAAAUUGAAUUAGAAAAAUUAAAAUGCCGCGACGUUCUUUUGACAUGAAACCAGAUUCCUUUGGUAGAUUUCAAAUUAGGAUUAUAUGUUAAUUUAUUAUUGGCUUAUUCUAGUCUCCAUAAAUUUAUUUUCACAGAAAGAGAUUAUUUUCUUAUAAAUUUAGACAAUUUACUCACAUUGCUUACAUCAAAUACCUAACUGAUUUAGAAUGAUGAAAUUGGUUCCAUGUGCUGUGUAAACUGAUGGUGUUUUAUUUACGGUUUCAGCAUUGGUUUCAGCAUUGUUUUAGUUGUUGUUUUAGCACUAUUUCUGUCCUAUUUUAAUUACUGUAUCUGCUGUAAAAAAAAAAAAUACUGUUGUAAUUACUGUAUCUGCUGUAAAAAUACUGCUGUUUGAUUGCUGUUACUGUUUUAAAAACCUUGCUGUUUGAUGUUGCUGUCAAGAAGGUUUACUGUUGUUGUAUUGGCUGUUUUAUGCAUUCUUUGUUGGCUGUUUCAGCACUUAAAUCAUUGUUGUUUUUUUUGUACAAUUGUGGAUUGUUUCAGCAUUGUUUUCUUUUUGUUUUACACUAAUAAAUUAUGUUGUUUGAUGUUGUUUUGGGACACUAUUAUUACUGUUUGCUAUUUGUUUUUUUUUUAUCACAAUACUAUAUCCAAUGCUUGAUGUUUGAGUUAAAAUUAUACACUAAAAUGAAAGGAAUUAUGAAAUGGUUAUAAGUCUUGAUUGGUGUGAAACUUUAAGAGGAAUUAUUCAUUCAAGAGGUAUAUCCUGUGAUUUAAAGUGGUCGGAUUGAAUAUGAAAGUAAGAUCUCUAGGUGAGAUCAUUUAGUGUAUUGAAUGAAUGGUGAGAGACUUCCAUAUGGGGGGUUAUCCCUAACACUCUAACGGUCUUUCAUUCUCACUUAGAGAGGAUUGACGCGGGUGGUGAGAGUAGUGGGAGGUCCUAGGGUAGGCGCUAUCACUGGAGGUCUAUUCCGCGGUAACGGACUAGCCUUGUGUGUGGUCGGGUGAAACCCCUCGGCAAUGGCUUUGCAAAGCAGUAGAGGCCACCACAAGUGCACAACCCGCCCCAGCUCUACAUUCAUUCCAAGUCCGGACGUGUCUAGAAUCUUAACAUGAUAGGAUACUUGUCUUGAUGAGUUUUAUGAAAUAAAUGCUUAUGUUUAUGAUGACUAAGGUGUUUAUGUGUGUAUGAAUAUUCUUGGAAAUGAUAGAUUGGUUGGAAAUGAAUUUAUGAUUGUUUGAGACUUAGCUCACCCUUGCACUUGUAUGUUUGUGUUUGUUUGCCUUCCCCCUUGCGAUGAUCAUCCAAUCCUUUGGAUGUGAGCAGUAGGUGAUGAUGUAUCUUUGGAGCAAGCGUUGGAGACUGAGGAAGACCCAGCCCCUAGUGCUUAGGAUCUCUAUUAGCUCCUAGUUUAGAUGAUCUUUAUUCUGAAAGACUAUUAGCAUUUAUUUACUUUGAUCUGUAUUUUGGAAAACAAUCUUUAGGACCCUUUAAUAUUUAGCUAGCUUUGUAUUUUGAACAACUUGGAAACUUGUACUUUGUCCUUCUUUUCGUUUUAAUUUCCCAUCUAUUUUGGAUGACUGUAAUUUAUACUUAUAUUGUCAUCUACUACUCUUAACUGCUUUCUAUUAUCAUGAUUUAAUGCAUUCUACAUAUAUACAUAGCUAUAUAUUUUGGGAUGUUACAAUUGAUAAUUGGAUUGCUUGAUGUUGUGAAUAAAAGUUUAGUAAACUA
This 3050-nucleotide long non-coding RNA is filed under the name Vigna radiata. Its description in RNAcentral is "long non-coding RNA (VRAD_LNC006352)". The record is from RNAcentral. Lineage: Eukaryota; Viridiplantae; Streptophyta; Magnoliopsida; Fabales; Fabaceae.